UUUGCUUUUGGUUCAGUGGUAGAAUGCUCGCCUGCCACGCGGGCGCCCCGGGUUCGAUUCCCGUGACAAAA
Molecule: transfer RNA, 71 nt
Filed under: Cordylochernes scorpioides
Lineage: Eukaryota; Metazoa; Arthropoda; Arachnida; Pseudoscorpiones; Chernetidae
Description: tRNA-Gly
Rfam family: tRNA
About the family: Transfer RNA (tRNA) molecules are approximately 80 nucleotides in length. Their secondary structure includes four short double-helical elements and three loops (D, anti-codon, and T loops). Further hydrogen bonds mediate the characteristic L-shaped molecular structure. tRNAs have two regions of fundamental functional importance: the anti-codon, which is responsible for specific mRNA codon recognition, and the 3' end, to which the tRNAs corresponding amino acid is attached (by aminoacyl-tRNA synthetases). tRNAs cope with the degeneracy of the genetic code in two manners: having more than one tRNA (with a specific anti-codon) for a particular amino acid; and 'wobble' base-pairing, i.e. permitting non-standard base-pairing at the 3rd anti-codon position.
Source: RNAcentral